Molecule: long non-coding RNA, 1180 nt
Organism: Daphnia pulex (common water flea)
Lineage: Eukaryota; Metazoa; Arthropoda; Branchiopoda; Diplostraca; Daphniidae
Exons: 9
Source: RefSeq, a predicted model, not a curated record
UUUAGCAAUCCGUGUUCCCCUAAGGGUUUCUAUCCACUGCGGCUGGUUUAGUUGGCGAUUUUGAUACUAGAUGGCUUUAGUUUUUUGUUAGUAUUUUUGUCACACUAGAUGGCUUUAGCGAUUGUUUUCACACUAGGUGGCUAAAGCUAAUGAAGUUUUCACACUAGGUGGCUAAUCAAGCCAAUCAAUCAAGACAAAUACAAAAAUUCUUUUUAUGUUGAAGGAUGCGUGUAUAAAUGCAAAAAAGUUCACUUCGAUUUUGGAAUGAUAGUUUGAAUAGAAUCACUGUGUGCUGUGUAUUUGCUAGUGAUAAUCGACUUCCAUUUUGAAGCGACUGUUAGCAGUUUAGCCCAUGCGCCAUGGUCUAAAUGGUCUAAAUGGUGUCAAAUAAGUCAAGGAGGAAGGAAACCUAUAAAGAUACAACAAGGGAACCUAUCAUAGAUGAUGGAAGGAAGGGAACCUCUACAGAUACAAUGAGGGAACCUAUUAGAUGAUGGAUUACUGAAAUCAUUGCAAAUUCGCACGUAUGGUCGAAAAAUUCCAAUCAUCCAUCCAAAAGUUAUUCCAAUUAGAUUACCCACAGAUGACAGAAUGCAAUUCGCCAAUUAAUUCACUUCUCUAAAGAAAGAAAAGAAAAAAAAUCACAGUGUUAAUGGCUUACUGCUGGAACCGGUUGAACUUCGCACGUAUAGUCGAAAGACACAAUCAACAAGUCACCCACAAUUUAUUCCAAUUAGAUUAUCUACAAUGUGUGGUGUCUGUGUUAAUAAUAUUUCUUCUGUCACAGGUUUACUCGAACCACUUCAACUUCGAACGUAUGGUCGUGAAACACAAUCAACAAUUCACUCAAAAAUUAUUCCAACUAGACUACCGUCAGAAUGUGAUGUGUCAACGAAUUCCAUUGAUUACGAUCCAAGUUUACCCUUUGAACGACAGGGGAAAACCAACGAAGUUAAAAGAAAACUACAUCAUGGUGUUACCGUUUACGUGUCAAUAACAUUGCGUGUUUUUAUGACUCACAAUAACAUGGAUCCUAAAGAUUGAUUUUCCCAAUUCACUAAAAAGAAAUUUGAAAACAAGAAAUCAAUCUUCAAAAAGAAUAUAGAACAAUCGUCUUAAUUCAAUAAACAAGAUAAACCUAUCCCCAUUACUUACUGACUUUCUUCAUUUUAAUCAGAAG